This 1439-nucleotide ribosomal RNA is filed under the name human gut metagenome. RNAcentral describes it as "bacterial LSU rRNA". It matches the Rfam family "Bacterial large subunit ribosomal RNA", at positions 1507 to 2925 of the family's 2925-position model. The record is from RNAcentral.
CGUGGUCAAGCACGCAGGGCGUGGGACAGGCAAAUCCGUCCCGCAUGGGUCCGAGGUGCGAUGGUGGGGGCCUUAUGGCCCGAUAUCCGGUGAUCCCGGCUGCCGAGAAAAGCUUCGGCGUGAGGCUGUUGGCCGCCCGUACCCCAAACCGACACUGGUGGUCAGGUAGAGAAUACCAAAGCGAUCGAGCGAAUCCUGGUCAAGGAACUCGGCAAAUCACUCCCGUUCCUUCGGUUUAAGGGAGACCCCCGAUGGUGAUCCGCCUCGCGCGGGGAGCUUUUGGGGGUGGCACAGACCAGGGGGUAGCGACUGUUUACCAAAAACACAGGUGCAUGCGAAGGCGCAAGCCGCUGUAUAUGCACUGACGCCUGCCCGGUGCCGGAAGGUUAAGAGGAUCCGUCAGCCUUCGGGUGAAGCGGUGAAUUCAAGCCCCGGUAAACGGCGGUGGUAACUAUAACCAUCCUAAGGUAGCGAAAUUCCUUGUCGGGUAAGUUCCGACCUGCACGAAUGGCGUAACGACUUCCCCACUGUCUCGACCAGGAGCUCGGCGAAAUUGCAGUACGAGUAAAGAUGCUCGUUAAGCGCAGAAGGACGAAAAGACCCCGGGACCUUUACUAUACCUUGGUAUUGGCAUUCGGUGUGGAUUGUGUAGCAUAGGCGGGAGGCUUCGAAGCGUUGGCGCCAGCCAGUGUGGAGCCGUAAGGUGAAAUACCGCUCUGUUCGCAUUGGAUGUCUAACCUCGAACAGUCAUCCUGUUCAGGGACAGUGCCUGGCGGGUAGUUUAACUGGGGCGGUUGCCUCCCAAAGAGUAACGGAGGCGCCCAAAGGUCCGCUCAGCCCGGUUGGCAAUCGGGUGGCGAGUGCAAGUGCACAAGCGGGCUUGACUGCGAGGACGACGGUCCGAGCAGGGACGAAAGUCGGGACUAGUGAUCCGGUGCCGGUGUACGGACGCGGCAUCGCUCAACGGAUAAAAGGUACCCCGGGGAUAACAGGCUGAUCAUUCCCAAGAGUCCAUAUCGACGGGAUGGUUUGGCACCUCGAUGUCGGCUCGUCGCAUCCUGGGGCUGGAGCAGGUCCCAAGGGUUCGGCUGUUCGCCGAUUAAAGCGGCACGCGAGCUGGGUUCAGAACGUCGUGAGACAGUUUGGUCUCUAUCCUCUGCGCUCGUUGGAAUGUUGAGGAGGCCUGCCCAUAGUACGAGAGGACCUGGGUGGACGAACCUCUGGUAUGCCGGUUGUCACGCCAGUGGCACGGCCGGUUGGCUACGUUCGGAAGGGAUAACCGCUGAAAGCAUCUAAGCGGGAAGCCUGCUCCAAGAUAAGCAUUCCGUGCAGCCUCGAGCUGCUGUAGUCCCCAUGCAGAACACGUGGUCGAUAGGCCGGACGUGGAAGCCCCGCGAGGGGUGGAGCCGACCGGUACUAACGGACGAAAGGCAACACUC